This 255-nucleotide ribosomal RNA is filed under the name uncultured bacterium. RNAcentral describes it as "partial 16S ribosomal RNA". It matches the Rfam family "Bacterial small subunit ribosomal RNA", at positions 524 to 776 of the family's 1533-position model. The record is from RNAcentral.
UACGUAGGUGGCAAGCGUUGUCCGGAAUUAUUGGGCGUAAAGCGCGCGCAGGCGGCCUCUUAAGUCUGAUGUGAAAGCCCCCGGCUCAACCGGGGAGGGCCAUUGGAAACUGGGAGGCUUGAGUAUAGGAGAGAAGAGUGGAAUUCCACGUGUAGCGGUGAAAUGACGUAGAGAUGUGGAGGAACACCAGUAGGCGAAGGCGACUCUUUGGCCUAUAACUGACGCUGAGGCGCGAAAGCGUGGGGAGCAAACAGG